AGACUCUCCUAACGGUCUAACAAACUCUGUAACGACCUCAUCAUCCCCUCUAUAAAUAGAGAGUUAUAGAUCCUCCAUCAGUAAGUCUAACUCAUGAAAAUUAGAAAAAACUCUGUUAGUAGAAAAUUAAGCCGGACCCUUGGCUCCUAUUGAGUUCUUCUCCAGUUUCACUCAAUUUCUCUUGCUUUUCUACUUUUUUUCACCUUUGUUCUCAAGGGUCGAACUCACUU
Molecule: long non-coding RNA, 230 nt
Filed under: Elaeis guineensis (African oil palm)
Lineage: Eukaryota; Viridiplantae; Streptophyta; Magnoliopsida; Arecales; Arecaceae
Description: long non-coding RNA (EGUI_LNC005615)
Source: RNAcentral